GCUCGGGGACUAUGUUUCCCAGGGGCCGUCGCGGCGGGCCGGAAGGGGCGGGCCCCCUGCCAGUGCUCACGCGCGCCAGUCCGGCUGGUUAUAUAAGGGAGGCUCCGGCCGCGUUCGUUCUUUUGCUUCGGAGGUGCUUGUGGUGUGUGGUAGUUUUGUUCGCGAUCCUCGGCAUGUCUUCCUUCGCUGCCCACCACGUUUGUUUAAUGGUUAACGCAAUUGGAUUCAGAAUGGAUGUUGCAAGACGGGCUCACCUCUGGGCUUCCACGGGAACCCCACUUUCUGUCUUCGGAGCUCUGGGGUUUGCUACCAGAAACCAGGGUUUGAAUGAACAAGGAUGAAUUCCAGGAGUGUGAAAGGAUUGGAGUCCUGGGUGCUACUAUGUUGACAUUAGUCUAAUCUGAUGUCUUUGCUUCAGUCCGUCCUGCAACAGAAGUUGCUCAGCCAUGGAGUUGGAGUACAAAUACUGAAAGAAAAAGGAGUCCUGUGUUUCCAGCUGAACCAAUCCCACAAGGUGUUUGUGUACUUAGCUGGAGGGCUAGCCCCAGUUGAAGGCUGUACUCCCCCCUUUCUUGAAAAAUUCAAGAAUUAAAUUUCUGACUGUGUAGCAUUUCUACCUGCAGAAAGAAUAAAAGAAAUUAAAACUUG
Molecule: long non-coding RNA, 648 nt
Organism: Marmota monax (woodchuck)
Lineage: Eukaryota; Metazoa; Chordata; Mammalia; Rodentia; Sciuridae
Exons: 5
Source: RefSeq, a predicted model, not a curated record